CAUAGUCAUUUCAACCACAAAGUUCGACACAUAAAUAAGUUUGAAGACCGCAAAUAGGUUCAACACACAAAUAAGUUCAACAUCUCAACACACAAAUAGGUUCAACAUCUCCAACAUGAAACCGAACGGUCCAAACCAACUUGACUUGCUUUCAUCUUCUCUCCACUUCAUGAGCCUUGACAUCUCAAAUCAUCAAUUCCUAGUAUGGGACAUAUAAAUUGCAAGACCUGAGAACUUGAGAGUAAUGAGUACAAGCUAUGUUUAGUUUGCAAUUCUUAUGUACUACUAAGAUAACAAGAAUAGAAGAUAACAUGAAUACAACAUAUCUUUGAUGUGCAACUCCGAAGUAGUAAUAAGAUACAUCAUAACAAGAAUACAAGAUAUGUUUGAUUUGAAUUCUUAAGUACUACCAACUACUAACCUGCAUCCCUUCUUGAAUGUCUUGAAGACAAG
RNAcentral lists this long non-coding RNA (453 nucleotides) under Triticum aestivum (bread wheat). Its description in RNAcentral is "long non-coding RNA (TAES_LNC001115)". The record is from RNAcentral. Lineage: Eukaryota; Viridiplantae; Streptophyta; Magnoliopsida; Poales; Poaceae.